Molecule: ribosomal RNA, 253 nt
Filed under: uncultured bacterium
Lineage: Bacteria
Description: partial 16S ribosomal RNA
Rfam family: Bacterial small subunit ribosomal RNA
Source: RNAcentral
UACGAACCGAGCGAACGUUGUUCGGAAUAACUGGGCUUAAAGGGCGCGUAGGCGGUCCGCCAAGUUCGAGGUGAAAUCCUCCGGCUCAACCGGAGAACUGCCUCGAAUACUGGAGGCCUCGAGGCGGGUAGGGGCAUGCGGAACUGUGGGUGGAGCGGUGAAAUGCGUUGAUAUCCACAGGAACUCCGGUGGCGAAGGCGGCAUGCUGGACCCGAUCUGACGCUGAGGCGCGAAAGCCAGGGGAGCAAACGGG